AAGUCGUAACAAGGUUUCCGUAGAGUAAACUCCAUAAUACCCCAAAUUCGGGGGUGUCGAGGAAACUCCCACCCCAAAAAAAACCGAACAACUGUUAACAAUGGAUAUCUUGGUUCUC
This 118-nucleotide unclassified non-coding RNA is filed under the name fungal sp. RNAcentral's name for it is "partial internal transcribed spacer region". Lineage: Eukaryota; Fungi. The record is from RNAcentral.